This 460-nucleotide ribosomal RNA is filed under the name uncultured bacterium. RNAcentral's name for it is "bacterial SSU rRNA". It matches the Rfam family "Bacterial small subunit ribosomal RNA", at positions 28 to 507 of the family's 1533-position model. The record is from RNAcentral.
GAUGAACGCUGGCGGCGUGCUUGAUACAUGCAAGUCGAACGGAGAGUGUAGCAAUAUACUUUUAGUGGCGAACGGGUGAGUAACGCGUUGGUGACCUGCCCCGAAGCGAGGGAUAACAGUUCGAAAGAACUGCUAAUACCUCAUGUGAUCACCGGUUUUAGAAUCUGGUGAUUAAAGGUGAAAAUCACUUCGGGAGGGGCCUGCGUCCCAUCAGCUAGUUGGUAAGGUAAUGGCUUACCAAGGCGAUGACGGGUAGGGGACCUGAGAGGGUGGCCCCCCACAAUGGAACUGAAACACGGUCCAUACACCUACGGGUGGCAGCAGUAGGGAAUAUUGCAAAUGGGCGAAAGCCUGAUGUAGCAACGCCGCGUGUGCGAUGAAGGUCUUCGGAUUGUAAAGCACUUUUUGGAGGGAUGGAGGAAGGACAGUACCUUUAGAAUAAGCCUCGGCUAACUACGUG